GUGAGCGUGGCCGACUGGUGAGGUACCGGCCUUUUAAGCCGGGCUAGGUGGGUUCGAUUCCGCACCGCUCACA
This 73-nucleotide transfer RNA is filed under the name Chloroflexi bacterium 54-19. RNAcentral describes it as "tRNA-Lys". It matches the Rfam family "tRNA". From Rfam's summary of the family: Transfer RNA (tRNA) molecules are approximately 80 nucleotides in length. Their secondary structure includes four short double-helical elements and three loops (D, anti-codon, and T loops). Lineage: Bacteria; Bacillati; Chloroflexota; Chloroflexia; Candidatus Chloroheliales. The record is from RNAcentral. RNAcentral also lists the same sequence under 1 other name.